CAUGCUUGUUCAGCAGUAAUAUUUUGCUGUGAAUGUCCCCCUUACCUGCAUUUAUCAUGUGUUGAUUGCUCAGUUCACUGAAGCGCAGGAUGCCGAGCAGAGCCAUGGGUCAAUAAAGUAAUUUAUAAUGAUCAACCUUCUGGGCAGACCGUGUCAUGAACCAGUCUUUACUGUUUUCUUCUAGCAGAGAAAAUCUGUUCUCCUCUUGAUUAAUAUUUGCUNNNNNNNNNNAAAAAAAAAAAAAAAAAGGCACAGAAAAUUUACUAGCCUUUAUAACAAACUUUUAUACUUAACAGAGAAAUUGGAUGAUGUGUCCAAAACUUGUAUGUUGCUCUUGAAUCCAGUAUAACAUCAACGAGUAUUUAUUUUUAAUCUAUGUGUAUCUGAUAGGUAUAUUCAUCAAUAUGUGACACAUUUAAUGACAACAGAAGUUGAUUUUAGGGUGACUUCAAGUCAGGGAAAAUGACUUCUCUUAGAUGUGGCAAAACCUGACGUGCAAACUGGUUAUUAUGAUUACACAAGCAGUAAAAUCAUCUGCGAUGCAACACAUGGCCUGGUGCCAUGUCACACCUGCAGCAGGCCCACAGGGACAAAGAAGCACACUGCUGCGGAGCAGCCCCGCUGGUUGUGGCUGCCCUUUAUCUUUGCCUUCCAGGCACCUGCUUGGGAAAGGUGGUGAGGCCUCCUGCCCUCCUGGAACCUCCUGGAACCUUCAGGAGUGGGAGCAGGGGCCUGUACCUGUGCCCUGCUGGGGGGCUGCAACAUAAUGGCAGGUGUUACAGCCCUGGAGGGCCGGACCUGCCAUGUCUGCAGGCUGCAGGGCUCGGCGGGGACACGGGAGAAGCACUGGGGACCUGCACUGCAAGGAGCUGGGGAGCUUUAAUACACAGAACAAGGCUAAGAAGGAAAUCUGCAAAUCACUGAAGCAGACCUGUGAUACUGAGUACCUGAAUGUCAGAAAAAUAGUAAUCUUAUAAAAGAAUACAUAAUCUUAUAGAAAGAAGAUAAAACCUCAUGCAUUCACAAUUGGCCAAAUAAAUAUUUAUGUAAGCACGUUUGGAAAUGUUUA
This 1069-nucleotide long non-coding RNA is filed under the name Anser brachyrhynchus (Pink-footed goose). RNAcentral's name for it is "lncRNA (ENSABRG00000013045.1)". Lineage: Eukaryota; Metazoa; Chordata; Aves; Anseriformes; Anatidae. The record is from RNAcentral.